CUCUGACUUUGUUGAUUCUCGUAAUCUUCAAGUGAAGAGUUUGAUCCUGGCUCAGAUUGAACGCUGGCGGCGUGCCUAACACAUGCAAGUCGAGCGGUAACAGGUGUAGCAAUACAUGCUGACGAGCGGCGAACGGGUGAGUAAUGCUUCGGAAUCUACCCACGGGUGGGGAAUAACCAACCGAAAGGUUGGCUAAUACCGCAUAAGUCCUACGGGGGAAAGCGGGGGAUCGAAAGACCUCGCGCCGGUGGAUGAGCCGAAGCCGGAUUAGCUAGUUGGUAGGGUAAUGGCCUACCAAGGCGACGAUCCGUAGCUGGUCUGAGAGGACGACCAGCCACACUGGGACUGAGACACGGCCCAGACUCCUACGGGAGGCAGCAGUGGGGGAAUAUUGGACAAUGGGGGGAAACCCUGAUCCAGCGACGCCGCGUGUGUGAAGAAGGCCUGCGGGUUGUAAAGCACUUUUAGUGGGGAUGGAAAAGCCUAGGAGCUAAUACCUCCGGGUCUUGACCUAACCCACAGAAAAAGC
This 529-nucleotide ribosomal RNA is filed under the name uncultured bacterium. Its description in RNAcentral is "bacterial SSU rRNA". It matches the Rfam family "Bacterial small subunit ribosomal RNA", at positions 1 to 491 of the family's 1533-position model. The record is from RNAcentral.